GACGAACGCUGGCGGCGUGCUUAACACAUGCAAGUCGAACGGAAAGGCCUGCUUUCCCUUGUGGAUUGCGGGUACUCGAGUGGCGAACGGGUGAGUAACACGUGAGUGAUCUGCCCCCAACUUGGGUAUAAGCCUGGGAAACUGGGUCUAAUUCCCGAUAGGACUGCAGGGUGGUGCCUGUGGUGGAAAACGAUUUUCUAGUGGUUGGGGAUGAGCUCGCGGCCUAUCAGCUUGUUGGUGGGGUAAUGGCCUACCAAGGCGGCGACGGGUAGCCGGCCUGGGAGGGUGGACGGGCACAGUGGGACUGAGAUACGGCGCAGACGCCUACGGGCGGCAGCAGUGGGGAAUAUGGCACAAUGGGCGGAAGCCUGAUGCAGCGACGCCGCGGGGGGGAUGACGGCCGUCGGGUUGUAAACUCCUUUCGACCGCGAGGAAGCCACCUGGUUGGAAGGGUGGUGACGGUAGUGGUAGAAGAAGCACCGGCUAACUACGUG
RNAcentral lists this ribosomal RNA (494 nucleotides) under uncultured bacterium. RNAcentral describes it as "partial 16S ribosomal RNA". It matches the Rfam family "Bacterial small subunit ribosomal RNA", at positions 28 to 507 of the family's 1533-position model. The record is from RNAcentral.